This 253-nucleotide ribosomal RNA is filed under the name uncultured bacterium. Its description in RNAcentral is "partial 16S ribosomal RNA". It matches the Rfam family "Bacterial small subunit ribosomal RNA", at positions 524 to 776 of the family's 1533-position model. The record is from RNAcentral.
GACGUAGGGGGCGAGCGUUGUCCGGAUUUAUUGGGCGUAAAGAGCUCGUAGGCGGCUCGUUGCGUCGGCUGUGAAAACCCGCAGCUCAACUGUGGGCUUGCAGCCGAUACGGGCGGGCUGGAGUUCGGUAGGGGAGACUGGAAUUCCUGGUGUAGCGGUGAAAUGCGCAGAUAUCAGGAGGAACACCGAUGGCGAAGGCAGGUCUCUGGGCCACUACUGACGCUGAGAAGCGAAAGCAUGGGGAGCGAACAGG